UUUUUUUUUUUUUUUUUUUGGAGCAAAUAUAUAUGAAACAAUCUUAAUUGCAUGUAAAUAUUUAAUUUUAUUGAAAGUAUAUAAUACAUAUAAAAAGUUAUAGAAAAAUCCAUGUAUAAAAUCGGUUAUCAGUUUGGUUUCGGUUCGGUUCAUAGUGAAGAACUAGAACUGCAGCAAAACAUUAAAAUAAAUUCAGUUCGGUAUGGUUCUUUGGUUCGAUUCGGGACCCCUGAGAACCGUGCAUAGCCCUAAUCACCACAGCCUUUUACCAUCAUCACAUUCCUUGUCCAUAUCACUUCUGCAGUGAACCAGCCAUUGCCACCACUGCAACCCCUGCCCUUAUCGCCAUUAGAGCCACCAUCUAGCUGUUGUAACCACUCACCACCCUCUAGCUACUACAAACAUCACUACCACUUGGUGAUCAACACCAUCACCACUAUCAAAUAAACUAAAUAUGGUAAUGAAAAUUAUUUUUCCAUUCCAUUGCACAUUUUUCAUGUUAUUACAUUUCAAUUUCAUCCAUAGUCUUAUUGUUAUUGUCUGUUCAUUUUAUGUGAAUAGCUUUGAAGUUGUCAAUGUUCUACCUCUUUGCUUCAUGAGUUUAGAAGUUUAUAAUUGUCCUUGUGUUUAGACUAUUAACUUUAGAUUCAUGCUUUAGACAUUGUUAAGUUUGGUCAAUUUGAUUUUAAAAAUGGUGUUAAUAUUUUGAAUUUGUUAUGAAUUUUAGGUCUUAAUUCUGAUUUUUUUUCUUUUCAAAUUUUAUAUUUUUGUGCUCGACCUAGGCUUUGAGACUCCUUCCCACCUUACUUCCUUAAUAACUUUGUGCAUCACCAUUUGAUUGUGAUGCUUGAAUGAGGGAUUAAAAUUUGCUUGUUAGGGUAUUUGGCAAUCUGCAAUUAUUUAUGGUAAUUAAACACUAUCCCCAUGUUUGGAAUCUAUAACUUUACAAAAAUUGAAUUCA
This 961-nucleotide unclassified non-coding RNA is filed under the name Hevea brasiliensis (rubber tree). Lineage: Eukaryota; Viridiplantae; Streptophyta; Magnoliopsida; Malpighiales; Euphorbiaceae. The record is from RNAcentral.